RNAcentral lists this ribosomal RNA (253 nucleotides) under uncultured bacterium. Its description in RNAcentral is "partial 16S ribosomal RNA". It matches the Rfam family "Bacterial small subunit ribosomal RNA", at positions 524 to 776 of the family's 1533-position model. The record is from RNAcentral.
UACAGAGGUCUCAAGCGUUGUUCGGAUUCAUUGGGCGUAAAGGGUGCGUAGGUGGCGCGUUAAGUCAGGUGUGAAAUUUCGGAGCUUAACUCCGAAACUGCAUUUGAUACUGGCGUGCUUGAGGACUGGAGAGGAGACUGGAAUUCAUGGUGUAGCAGUGAAAUGCGUAGAGAUCAUGAGGAAGACCAGUGGCGAAGGCGGGUCUCUGGACAGUUCCUGACACUGAGGCACGAAGACCAGGGGAGCAAACGGG